CCUACGGGCGGCAGCAGUGGGGAAUAUUGGGCAAUGGGCGCAAGCCUGACCCAGCAACGCCGCGUGAAGGAAGAAGGCUCUCGGGUUGUAAACUUCUUUUAUCAGGGGCGAAGCAAGUGACGGGACCUGAUGAAUAAGCCACGGCUAACUACGUGCCAGCAGCCGCUGUAAUACGUAGGUGGCAAGCGUUAUCCGGAUUUCCUGGGUGUAAAGGGCGUGUAGGCGGGAAAGCAAGUCAGAUGUGAAAACCAUGGGCUCAACCUGUUGCGUGCAUUUGAAACUGUUUUUCUUGAGUACUGGAGAGGCAGACGGAAUUCCUAGUGUAGCGGUGAAAUGCGUAGAUAUUAGGAGGAACACCAGUGGCGAAGGCGGUCUGCUGGACAGCAACUGACGCUGAGGCGCGAAAGCGUGGGGAGCAAACAGGAUUAGAUACCCCUGUAGUC
Molecule: ribosomal RNA, 443 nt
Filed under: uncultured bacterium
Lineage: Bacteria
Description: partial 16S ribosomal RNA
Rfam family: Bacterial small subunit ribosomal RNA
Source: RNAcentral